Molecule: unclassified non-coding RNA, 418 nt
Filed under: fungal sp.
Lineage: Eukaryota; Fungi
Description: partial internal transcribed spacer region
Rfam family: Eukaryotic small subunit ribosomal RNA (bases 1-46)
Source: RNAcentral
AAGUCGUAACAAGGUUUCCGUAGGUGAACCUGCGGAAGGAUCAUUAACACGUAUCCACGUACCAACCCCUCGUGCACCUGUUGUCGCCUCUCCCUGCUGUGACUGGUUGGAAACGUUCGGCUCGAUUGAGUGGGACUCGCCCGCAAGGCGCGAGUCGCGGCCGAACGAACAUUUGUGAGCGCUUUCUAACGGAAGCGCAUGCUUACAACUUGGAACAGUCAGGCUUGUUUCUUAGCGAGAGCGAGCUCCAUUCAAGCUCGCUCGCGUUAGGAGCCCACCUUCACAUCUGUCACCCCCUUUUUGCUAGUUGACUUUUUUUCUGUGUCGCUGUGCGAGAAUUUCGGUUCUUUGCGCGCUCACACGUUUGAUUAUUUGAACGUUAAAAAAACAACUCUUAGCAAUGGAUAUCUUGGUUCUC